Non-coding RNA from Vicia faba (fava bean), 195 nucleotides. Lineage: Eukaryota; Viridiplantae; Streptophyta; Magnoliopsida; Fabales; Fabaceae. The record is from the annotation of a GenBank genome assembly.
AUGAGUUCCACAGAAAACACACAGGCUAACACCGACACAACUCAAAGAACCAGACAAAAAUACAUGUUGAGUAUCAAAUCAAACAAAAGUGUGCAAGUCUUAGUAGUGAUGACCAAAUUAAAGUGCACCAAUAGAAGGAAGCGUCUGACACACAACCUGCAAAAGUUGGUGAUUUGUUCCAAUCCAGCAAAAUAG